UAACGUCCGUCGUGAAGAGGGAAACAACCCAGACCGCCAGCUAAGGUCCCAAAGUCAUGGUUAAGUGGGAAACGAUGUGGGAAGGCCCAGACAGCCAGGAUGUUGGCUUAGAAGCAGCCAUCAUUUAAAGAAAGCGUAAUAGCUCACUGGUCGAGUCGGCCUGCGCGGAAGAUGUAACGGGGCUAAACCAUGCACCGAAGCUGCGGCAGCGACACUAUGUGUUGUUGGGUAGGGGAGCGUUCUGUAAGCCUGUGAAGGUGGCCUGUGAGGGUUGCUGGAGGUAUCAGAAGUGCGAAUGCUGACAUAAGUAACGAUAAAGCGGGUGAAAAGCCCGCUCGCCGGAAGACCAAGGGUUCCUGUCCAACGUUAAUCGGGGCAGGGUGAGUCGACCCCUAAGGCGAGGCCGAAAGGCGUAGUCGAUGGGAAACAGGUUAAUAUUCCUGUACUUGGUGUUACUGCGAAGGGGGGACGGAGAAGGCUAUGUUGGCCGGGCGACGGUUGUCCCGGUUUAAGCGUGUAGGCUGGUUUUCCAGGCAAAUCCGGAAAACCAAGGCUGAGGCGUGAUGACGAGGCACUACGGUGCUGAAGCGACAAAUGCCCUGCUUCCAGGAAAAGCCUCUAAGCAUCAGGUAACAUCAAAUCGUACCCCAAACCGACACAGGUGGUCAGGUAGAGAAUACCAAGGCGCUUGAGAGAACUCGGGUGAAGGAACUAGGCAAAAUGGUGCCGUAACUUCGGGAGAAGGCACGCUGAUAUGUAGGUGAAGCGACUUGCUCGUGGAGCUGAAAUCAGUCGAAGAUACCAGCUGGCUGCAACUGUUUAUUAAAAACACAGCACUGUGCAAACACGAAAGUGGACGUAUACGGUGUGACGCCUGCCCGGUGCCGGAAGGUUAAUUGAUGGGGUUAGCGGUAACGCGAAGCUCUUGAUCGAAGCCCCGGUAAACGGCGGCCGUAACUAUAACGGUCCUAAGGUAGCGAAAUUCCUUGUCGGGUAAGUUCCGACCUGCACGAAUGGCGUAAUGAUGGCCAGGCUGUCUCCACCCGAGACUCAGUGAAAUUGAACUCGCUGUGAAGAUGCAGUGUACCCGCGGCAAGACGGAAAGACCCCGUGAACCUUUACUAUAGCUUGACACUGAACAUUGAGCCUUGAUGUGUAGGAUAGGUGGGAGGCUUUGAAGUGUGGACGCCAGUCUGCAUGGAGCCGACCUUGAAAUACCACCCUUUAAUGUUUGAUGUUCUAACGUUAGCCCGUAAUCCGGGUUGCGGACAGUGUCUGGUGGGUAGUUUGACUGGGGCGGUCUCCUCCUAAAGAGUAACGGAGGAGCACGAAGGUUGGCUAAUCCUGGUCGGACAUCAGGAGGUUAGUGCAAUGGCAUAAGCCAGCUUGACUGCGAGCGUGACGGCGCGAGCAGGUGCGAAAGCAGGUCAUAGUGAUCCGGUGGUUCUGAAUGGAAGGGCCAUCGCUCAACGGAUAAAAGGUACUCCGGGGAUAACAGGCUGAUACCGCCCAAGAGUUCAUAUCGACGGCGGUGUUUGGCACCUCGAUGUCGGCUCAUCACAUCCUGGGGCUGAAGUAGGUCCCAAGGGUAUGGCUGUUCGCCAUUUAAAGUGGUACGCGAGCUGGGUUUAGAACGUCGUGAGACAGUUCGGUCCCUAUCUGCCGUGGGCGCUGGAGAACUGAGGGGGGCUGCUCCUAGUACGAGAGGACCGGAGUGGACGCAUCACUGGUGUUCGGGUUGUCAUGCCAAUGGCACUGCCCGGUAGCUAAAUGCGGAAGAGAUAAGUGCUGAAAGCAUCUAAGCACGAAACUUGCCCCGAGAUGAGUUCUCCCUGAGACUUAGAGUCUCCUGAAGGAACGUUGAAGACGACGACGUUGAUAGGCCGGGUGUGUAAGCGCAGCGAUGCGUUGAGCUAACCGGUACUAAUGAACCGUGAGGCUUAACCUU
Molecule: ribosomal RNA, 1948 nt
Filed under: Escherichia coli KTE207
Lineage: Bacteria; Pseudomonadati; Pseudomonadota; Gammaproteobacteria; Enterobacterales; Enterobacteriaceae
Description: bacterial LSU rRNA
Rfam family: Bacterial large subunit ribosomal RNA
Source: RNAcentral